This 606-nucleotide long non-coding RNA is filed under the name Mytilus galloprovincialis (Mediterranean mussel). Lineage: Eukaryota; Metazoa; Mollusca; Bivalvia; Mytilida; Mytilidae. The record is from RNAcentral.
GGCGGCACUGGAACAGCAUGUUUUACGUACUUCGUUUCAAACUAAAAAUUUGGACCGCAUUACACAUUGCUAAACCCUCUAUUACGUCAAUUUUACAAUACGACUGGCGAUAGUUAAAUGAUUCAUUACACCCCGUGUAUUGUAAAGGGCAUAUGUCAGCAGAAUUCUUACAGGAUCUUGUGUUUUCAUUGAAAGGAAAAUCUCCAUGUAAAAUAGUCAUGUGUUUGUUCACAACAACACCCUACAUGUCCGUAGUUUUGCUCCUGGAAAGUUCAGAAUUAUGUAGACAUUUCAAAUCAUGUUCCUAGACAGAUGAACCAAAAGAUACUUCUGGCAUAAUUCUGUUGUGUGGAUCUCUUUGAUUGGAUUUUUGAUUGCAACUGUUUUCGAGGUAUUGAGUGCUUUUUAGUUUUAAUGAAUUACAUGAAUGAGCUUAGGCAAAAUACGCCUUCAUGAUAGUAGGCUUCAGUUAAAAUAAUAAUAGUUAUCCUUUAUUGCUGACGUUGAAUGUCAACCAGCAAGAUAACUUCUGUAACUUUAACAGAAUAUGUGUAUAAUAGAUCAAGUGUUUGAAAAACGCCAAUUUUCAGAAUAAAUCGAUUUCCU